RNAcentral lists this long non-coding RNA (1006 nucleotides) under Homo sapiens (human). Its description in RNAcentral is "long intergenic non-protein coding RNA 1490". Lineage: Eukaryota; Metazoa; Chordata; Mammalia; Primates; Hominidae. The record is from RNAcentral.
UGAAGGUGGGAUUAUAGAACUUGCUUUGCUGUGACUAAAGAGAACUUGUAAGGAAGCCUGUGUCCAUAGAUUGUCAUGGUAGCUCGCAACCUUUACUUUCUUUACGUGUGUCAAGUAAUUCCAGGGAGUAGACGUGUAUGCAGCUGUAGUCUGGGAGGUCUGAUGUUAGGGAAAAAGAAGGAGGAAAGCAAGAUUAAAAAUCAUUCCUGGAAAUGCAAGAGAAAAUGUGCUGGAGUGGUGCUGUUAGUACCAGGGACACUGGACAAGAAAGAUAAGCAAGCCACUGCUGUCUGAUUCCUACAUAGCAGGUUAAAGUGUUGGAUUCAUAAUUCUCACUUCAGGAAGACUGAAAACCAGACUUUAUUCUGCUAGAUCCCAAGAUAUCAAGGAAGAGGAAAAGGGAAGAGCCCCAGGCACUAUUAAACCACAGCUACAAUCACUGCCAUUUGAAACUUCCCACCAAACAACUUUACUAUUCUGAUUUAAUUUCAACUCCCAGGGAGAGUUAGUAUUAAGAGGAAGUACCUAUCAUCCAUGAUAAUCCACCAGCUCUGGGGGUUUAGAAGGGAAAGGAUGGAGGUCUCAGUGCUUGAGGCUAGGCUGACAGCUGAGCAGGGCUCCAGCUCACCUUAAUCUCACUCCUGUGGAUGCCUGCACUAGGGGCCUGAGCAUUCUCCCAGAUCUCUGCAUAGGAGGCUGCCCUUAGGCAUUAUUAAGGUGUGAAAGCAGCAAGAAAGAGCAGAAUUAAACUGCUUUUCUCUAAUGUAUCCUUUUACAGCCCAGUGUAUUUUGCCCUAGGCUAGCCUUUUCUUCUCCUUUCACCCUCCACAUGCCAGUCCGAGACAGCCUUUCUUCUCACAGGAAUUAUUGUAUUAUUUCUUAAAUUCUUUUUUUCUUCUCCAUGGCUUUUCUAGAGGAAACCUAACAGUGUGGGUUUAUCAAUCAUUUUGACAAGACUCUGAAUUCCACUGAACAGAUUUUUGAAUAAAAAUUAUGAACAAAGAAA